AUCUACGGCCAUACUUUGGCCAAUCUCGUCUGAUCUUGGAAGCUAAGCAGAGUUGGGCCUGGUUAGUACUUGGAUGGGAGAAGAAGGUGUUGGAAGAGUUACAGCUUGGGACUUACUGGGAAGAGGUAGAAG
This 132-nucleotide ribosomal RNA is filed under the name Microcebus murinus (gray mouse lemur). The record is from RNAcentral. Lineage: Eukaryota; Metazoa; Chordata; Mammalia; Primates; Cheirogaleidae.